AGACACAGUGAGGACAAUGCUGAGGAAAAUUGCCACAAACAAAGUCCUGGAGCAGCUUGGUCUCCGUGGAAAGACAGGCAAAGUGGCAUUUGAGGACUUGCCCUUUUACAGAAUAAUAAUAAGAGAAGAGGAGGAAUUAAGAGGAAGCGACGGCGAAGAAGGGCAAAGGGAGGUGUACAAAGGAAAUGGACAGUGAGAUGAGUGACCAGGAAGUGAAGAAGAAGAAAACAGGGAAAGGGAAAAGAACCAAGCAAACGCCAGUGAGACCAGUGAGCAUUGAGCAGGAAGAGAACCAACAAGAAGGGGCAGGAGUACACUGACGCGCACGACCAAGACCACAGCAUUCCAUUUCUAUUGUAUUAUAAUUAUCACUAAUAAAGAAUUAUUGUUGAA
This is a non-coding RNA of Nerophis lumbriciformis (worm pipefish), 393 nucleotides long. NCBI's taxonomy places the organism in Eukaryota, Metazoa, Chordata, Actinopteri, Syngnathiformes, Syngnathidae. The record is from RefSeq and is a predicted model, not a curated record.